Molecule: non-coding RNA, 660 nt
Organism: Hydra vulgaris (swiftwater hydra)
Lineage: Eukaryota; Metazoa; Cnidaria; Hydrozoa; Anthoathecata; Hydridae
Source: RefSeq, a predicted model, not a curated record
AAAAAAAUUAUUUAUGGCGAAUGUUUUUCAAUUGUACCAGUUUAAAUAGAACAGUUAAUAUGCCAAUUUAAAUGCUCGAAAAUACAAUAAAUAAGUCAUGCAGUUUGGAGUUAAAUAAGUACCGUAAGAUUCUACCCAAGGAGGUUUAAUAAACAGGAGACGCCGUAGUAUAUACUUUAUAUAAAAUGCGCUGAAGCUAGUUUUGUAAAUCAGCUGCUAUCUUGGUUAACCCAAAACAUUGUUAUGUUUUGAACGGAACUUUAUAUCUUUUGUAGAAAAUUUUGCUGAAAUUAAGUCAAAACUGAUAUAAAUGAUUGAAUAAUUUGCUAGUUGUUUCCUAGUCUAUCUUAUACCACAAAGAAUUGUUUGCUAACUAAUUAUCGGUUUCAGCUUAUUCCAAAAUAUUGGAAUACUGAAGUAGACAUUCAGAUAGUAAACACGCUAUUAGCAUAUGCCAUAUUUUAUACAGUGUGAUCAUCUUGGAACAAAAUCAUCUAUGAAACAAAAAAAACUUAUUUUAUUUUCUUGGAGUUCAAUUUCUUUUGUAUUAUGAUAUUUGCAAUGCAGAGUUUUUCUGUAACUAGUUCAAAUUUUUCGACAAGCUAUUAAACCAAAAUCUUUGGCAUAUGAAACACUGAUGAUUCUAAGAGAAUCUACAAA